This 127-nucleotide small RNA is filed under the name Marmota monax (woodchuck). The record is from RNAcentral. Lineage: Eukaryota; Metazoa; Chordata; Mammalia; Rodentia; Sciuridae.
GCCAGGCGUGGUGGUGCAUGCCUAUAAUCCCAGCAGUUCUGGAGGCUGAGACAGGAGGAUUGUGAGUUCAAAGCCAGCCUCAGCAAUUUAGUGAGGUCCUAAGCAACUCAGCAAGACCCUGUCUCUA